CCUACGGGGGGCAGCAGUGGGGAAUUGUUCGCAAUGGGCGCAAGCCUGACGACGCAACGCCGCGUGGAGGAUGAAGGUCUUCGGAUUGUAAACUCCUGUUGCUCGGGAAGAAUGGCUCCGACCUAACACGUCGGAGUGUGACGGUACCGGGUGAGGAAGCCCCGGCUAACUCUGUGUCAGCAGCCGCGGUAAUACAGAGGGGGCAAGCGUUGUUCGGAAUUACUGGGCGUAAAGGGCGCGUAGGCGGCCUGCUAAGUCGAACGUGAAAUCCCCGGGCUCAACCCGGGAACUGCGUCCGAUACUGGCAGGCUUGAAUCCGGGAGAGGGAUGCGGAAUUCCAGGUGUAGCGGUGAAAUGCGUAGAGAUGUGGAGGAAUACCGGUGGCGAAGGCGGCCCCCUGGACAAAGACUGACGCGCAUGUGCGAAAGCGUGGGGAGCAAACAGGAUUAGAUACCCGAGUAGUC
Molecule: ribosomal RNA, 464 nt
Filed under: uncultured bacterium gp6
Lineage: Bacteria
Description: bacterial SSU rRNA
Rfam family: Bacterial small subunit ribosomal RNA
Source: RNAcentral